GAUGAACUGGGACAGCUGAUUGAUGUCGAGUGCGCCGUUCUCCGCCUGCUGCUGGAUUAGAGGCAGAUCCAGAACUUCCUCAAUACGGGAGCGCAGACGGCCGUGGCCCGGCAGCAAGAAAGACAGCAGUGUCUGGCUGGAUGUUCCCCUCUGAAAUCUACCUGCUGCUCACCUUGAGGAGUGUUCCCCCUGUGUGGGCUCGGAGUAUUCGCCCGGACCCUCUUCCUUACCGCCUCCUCAGGAGCAUCCUGCGUCCUCUCCUCCUUUGACUCCUUUUCUCCUUCACCCUCAUGGUGGUCUGCCUCCUUUGGCAUGCUAAGAUGAUGACAUCACCUAGACUAGGAGAGGAGGGGAGGGGAGGAGGAGUCAGUGUGCCAGUGCGAUGCUAAGCUGACUGAGGAGGUGAAGAGACAGAGUGAAAUUUGCAGCUGUACAGCAACAGAUCCAACCCAGUGAGACGUGUCACCAUGAAAAUUACUUGUGGCUUUGAGUAAAAUGUCUCGAACUUUUGGAUGAAUACCACUUUGGAAUAGCAUGAAGACCACCAUCAGGUCCUCUUUCUCCUUUGAAAGAGCCCUGCUGUGGAGAAUCGCCCUGGAGAAAGACUUCUUCACCGCCUGUCUGUUCUCCAUCUACACAUUCAACAGCACACCAUUAAUGUUAAAUUAC
Epinephelus fuscoguttatus (brown-marbled grouper) is the source of this 669-nucleotide long non-coding RNA. RefSeq lists it as uncharacterized. The record is from RefSeq and is a predicted model, not a curated record. The transcript has 6 exons. NCBI's taxonomy places the organism in Eukaryota, Metazoa, Chordata, Actinopteri, Perciformes, Serranidae.